GUGGGGAAUUUUUCGCAAUGGGGGAAACCCUGACGAAGCAACGCCGCGUGGACGAUGAAGAUCCUUGUGAUUGUAAAGUCCUGUCGGGAGGGACGAAGGCCUCCGGAUCGAAUACGUCCGGAGGUCAGACGGUACCUUCGGAGGAAGCCCCGGCCAACUUCGUGCCAGCAGCCGCGGUAAUACGAGGGGGGCAAGCGUUGUUCGGAAUCACUGGGCGUAAAGGGCGCGUAGGCGGUUGAGUUUGUCAAGUGUGAAAGCCCUCGGCUUAACUGAGGAAGUGCACUUGAAACGGCUCAACUUGAGUUGGGGAGAGGAGAGUGGAAUUCCCAGUGUAGCGGUGAAAUGCUUAGAUAUUGGGAGGAACACCGGUGGCGAAGGCGGCUCUCUGGACCCACACUGACGCUGAGGCGCGAGAGCUAGGGGAGCAAACGGGAUUAGAUACCCGAGUAGUCC
Molecule: ribosomal RNA, 453 nt
Filed under: uncultured bacterium
Lineage: Bacteria
Description: bacterial SSU rRNA
Rfam family: Bacterial small subunit ribosomal RNA
Source: RNAcentral